RNAcentral lists this non-coding RNA (173 nucleotides) under Deltaproteobacteria bacterium GWA2_54_12. Its description in RNAcentral is "6S RNA". It matches the Rfam family "6S / SsrS RNA". Rfam says of the family: E. coli 6S RNA was the first non coding RNA to be sequenced, but its function was unknown until recently. It consists of 184 nucleotides that fold into an extended hairpin structure with a large single-stranded internal bulge. Lineage: Bacteria; Deltaproteobacteria. The record is from RNAcentral.
AAUCCCCUGCGGGGUUAGUGAUCGAUCGGUUUUUUGAGCCAACAUUAUUUGUCAGGGAGCCUCCUCUGACUGUGGAAGGCAUGUCCCCUAGCGGGAAUCCGGAAGCUGUUACCAAGGCGCCCACCUGUCUCAGACAGGUUCAAAUAUCAUCGACACGGCCGAGCGGGGGUAUG